UGGGGGAUAUUGCACAAUGGGGGAAACCCUGAUGCAGCGACGCCGCGUGAGGGAAGACGGUUUUCGGAUUGUAAACCUCUGUCUUUGGGGACGAACAAAUGACGGUACCCAAGGAGGAAGCCACGGCUAACUACGUGCCAGCAGCCGCGGUAAUACGUAGGUGGCAAGCGUUGUCCGGAAUUACUGGGUGUAAAGGGAGCGUAGGCGGGGAGACAAGUUGAAUGUUUAAACUAUCGGCUUAACUGAUAGUCGCGUUCAAAACUAUCACUCUUGAGUGCAGUAGAGGCAGGCGGAAUUCCUAGUGUAGCGGUGAAAUGCGUAGAUAUUAGGAGGAACACCAGUGGCGAAGGCGGCCUGCUGGGCUGUAACUGACGCUGAGGCUCGAAAGCGUGGGUAGCAAACAGGAUUAGAUACCC
This 416-nucleotide ribosomal RNA is filed under the name uncultured bacterium. RNAcentral describes it as "bacterial SSU rRNA". It matches the Rfam family "Bacterial small subunit ribosomal RNA", at positions 355 to 787 of the family's 1533-position model. The record is from RNAcentral.